AGAACGAACGCUGGCGGCAGGCCUAAAACAUGCAAGUCGAACGCUCUAGCAAUAGAGAGUGGCGCACGGGUGCGUAACAUGUGGGAAUAUGCCUUUUGGUACGGAACAACUUUUGGAAACGAAAGCUAAUACCGUAUGGUCCCUUCGGGGUAAAGAUUUAUCGCCAAAAGAGUAGCCCGCACUGGAUUAGCUAGUUGGUAAGGUAAUGGCUUACCAAGGCGACGAUCCAUAGCUGGUCUGAGAGGACGAUCAGCCACACUGGGACUGAGACACGGCCCAGACUCCUACGGGAGGCAGCAGUUAGGAAUCUUGGACAAUGGGCGCAAGCCUGAUCCAGCCAUGCCGCGUGAGUGAUGAAGGCCUUCGGGUUGUAAAGCUCUUUAGUCCACGAAUAUAAUGACUGUAGUGGAAGAAUAAGCCCGGCUAACUUCGUGCCAGCAGCCGC
This 445-nucleotide ribosomal RNA is filed under the name uncultured bacterium. RNAcentral's name for it is "SSU rRNA". It matches the Rfam family "Bacterial small subunit ribosomal RNA", at positions 26 to 518 of the family's 1533-position model. The record is from RNAcentral.